This 746-nucleotide ribosomal RNA is filed under the name uncultured Glomerales. Its description in RNAcentral is "LSU rRNA". It matches the Rfam family "Eukaryotic large subunit ribosomal RNA", at positions 38 to 633 of the family's 3401-position model. The record is from RNAcentral. Lineage: Eukaryota; Fungi; Glomeromycota; Glomeromycetes; Glomerales; Glomeraceae.
GCAUAUCAAUAAGCGGAGGAAAAGAAAAUAACAAUGAUUCCCCUAGUAACUGCGAGUGAAGAGGGACAAGCUCAAAUUUUAAAUCUAUCGGGUUUUACCUGAUCGAGUUGUAAUUUGAAGAGGCGUUUUCUGCGUAUUUGGUCAGCCCAAGUCCUAUUGAAUGAGGCAUCAUGGAGGGUGAUAAUCCCGUCCGGUUGAUCAUUUGCGUUUUACGAUACGCUUUCUAAGAGUCAAGUUGUUUGGGAUUGCAGCUUAAAAUGGGAGGUAAAUUUCUCCUAAGGCUAAAUAACGGCGAGAGACCGAUAGCGAACAAGUACCGUGAGGGAAAGAUGAAAAGAACUUUGAAAAGAGAGUUAAAUAGUACGUGAAAUUGUUGAAAGGGAAACGAUUGAAGCCAGUCGUACCUUCGGGUAAUCAGCCUUUUGGGUAUGAUUUUGUGGAGCGUGAGGAGUUAAACGCCUUCAUGCCUGCAUAUUCGUGCACUUUGGGUGUACUUGCCCGUGUGGUUGGUUAACAUCAAUUUUGGUUAUCAUAAAAUGACUGGAGGAAUGUAGCUUCGAUCUCGUAUUGAAGUGUUAUAGCCUUCGGUAGAUGUGAUGAUCGAGAUUGAGGAUUGCAACGGAUACCCUUCGGGGCUACCUGUCUGGUCUCUGAUCGUUGCUUUGGUGCCGAAAGCUUGCUUACGGUUAUCAAAGUCGAUGGUCAAUAGGUUAGAACGGGUUAAAUUCGUUAAGGAUGUUGACGUA